This 860-nucleotide ribosomal RNA is filed under the name Micrococcus luteus. Its description in RNAcentral is "bacterial SSU rRNA". It matches the Rfam family "Bacterial small subunit ribosomal RNA", at positions 24 to 895 of the family's 1533-position model. The record is from RNAcentral. Lineage: Bacteria; Bacillati; Actinomycetota; Actinomycetes; Micrococcales; Micrococcaceae.
UCAGGAUGAACGCUGGCGGCGUGCUUAACACAUGCAAGUCGAACGAUGAAGCCCAGCUUGCUGGGUGGAUUAGUGGCGAACGGGUGAGUAACACGUGAGUAACCUGCCCUUAACUCUGGGAUAAGCCUGGGAAACUGGGUCUAAUACCGGAUAGGAGCGUCCACCGCAUGGUGGGUGUUGGAAAGAUUUAUCGGUUUUGGAUGGACUCGCGGCCUAUCAGCUUGUUGGUGAGGUAAUGGCUCACCAAGGCGACGACGGGUAGCCGGCCUGAGAGGGUGACCGGCCACACUGGGACUGAGACACGGCCCAGACUCCUACGGGAGGCAGCAGUGGGGAAUAUUGCACAAUGGGCGMAAGCCUGAUGCAGCGACGCCGCGUGAGGGAUGACGGCCUUCGGGUUGUAAACCUCUUUCAGUAGGGAAGAAGCGAAAGUGACGGUACCUGCAGAAGAAGCACCGGCUAACUACGUGCCAGCAGCCGCGGUAAUACGUAGGGUGCGAGCGUUAUCCGGAAUUAUUGGGCGUAAAGAGCUCGUAGGCGGUUUGUCGCGUCUGUCGUGAAAGUCCGGGGCUUAACCCCGGAUCUGCGGUGGGUACGGGCAGACUAGAGUGCAGUAGGGGAGACUGGAAUUCCUGGUGUAGCGGUGGAAUGCGCAGAUAUCAGGAGGAACACCGAUGGCGAAGGCAGGUCUCUGGGCUGUAACUGACGCUGAGGAGCGAAAGCAUGGGGAGCGAACAGGAUUAGAUACCCUGGUAGUCCAUGCCGUAAACGUUGGGCACUAGGUGUGGGGACCAUUCCACGGUUUCCGCGCCGCAGCUAACGCAUUAAGUGCCCCGCCUGGGGAGUACGGCCGCAAGGCU